Molecule: small RNA, 546 nt
Filed under: Pan troglodytes (chimpanzee)
Lineage: Eukaryota; Metazoa; Chordata; Mammalia; Primates; Hominidae
Description: processed transcript
Source: RNAcentral
GUUCUGGCUCCUUGGCAGCAAUGGCUGUAUUUGAAGAUAAGUUUAGGCCAGACAUGGAGAGACGUGACCUGAAAAUGGAGGCAGUUUUAAAAAUCCCUGUAGAUGAUUCUGCAUCUGGCAGAAGAUGGGGACAAGACCACACAUGUGGGGGAAUCAUCUCAGAGCGUAAUGAUCUAGUGUCUCAGAUACAUGACAAAUGCACAGCUCUUCCAUGGUCACUGUCGCAGGAAUGUUGAAUAUGCCUGGAUCCAUCAUGGUACCACGUUACUCCUCCACGGCACUACAUCUGGCCGCUAAACCAGCAUUCAGCACAUAAGCUUUUUUGAUGGUUGUUAAUUUUUUGAUGGAGAGUAUCAACUUCUUUUCAACAAUUAAUAGGUAGUUUAUGAGUGGUUUACCCUAUUUCUUAGUAUGUAGGUUUUUGCCAUUUCUGACUUCGCAGUAUUGUUUAGGGACCAGAGGGUGUCUCUGGGAAUUGCUUUUUGACAGUGCCUUAUGUCCAGUCAUCUUUGGAAAAGAUUGCUUAUUAAAAAUAUUUUGUUCUUC